GAAUCUUUAGUUUAAUUAAGAAUAAUUCAUUUACGAUGAAUAAGUUUGUGGAUUCU
This 56-nucleotide transfer RNA is filed under the name Angiostrongylus costaricensis. RNAcentral describes it as "tRNA-Val". The record is from RNAcentral. Lineage: Eukaryota; Metazoa; Nematoda; Chromadorea; Rhabditida; Metastrongylidae.